AAGGGUCCCUUUGGUUGGGCUUUUGAACCUGCUUUUGCUUUUGUAAAAGCCAAAAGCCAACCAAAGGGCCCAAAAGCCACAAGUGCUUUUGCCCAAAAGCAGCUUUUCUCGUAGUACAAAUCCAAAAGCACCUCACCCCCUGCUUUCACUGACUUUUGGGAUCCGUUCAGUUUUUUUUUCCAAAAGCCACGAGUGACCAACCAAAUGACUUUUGGGUUUCUCAAAGCCCACAUCCCACAGCAGCUUUUCAAAAGCUCAAAGCUCACAGUAGCUUUUCCAAAAGUCACAGCCCAACCAAACACACCCUAA
This 309-nucleotide long non-coding RNA is filed under the name Sorghum bicolor (sorghum). RNAcentral's name for it is "long non-coding RNA (SBIC_LNC000586)". Lineage: Eukaryota; Viridiplantae; Streptophyta; Magnoliopsida; Poales; Poaceae. The record is from RNAcentral.